This 702-nucleotide ribosomal RNA is filed under the name uncultured bacterium. RNAcentral describes it as "bacterial SSU rRNA". It matches the Rfam family "Bacterial small subunit ribosomal RNA", at positions 8 to 703 of the family's 1533-position model. The record is from RNAcentral.
AGAGUUUGAUCCUGGCUCAGGAUGAACGCUAGCGGCAGGCUUAAUACAUGCAAGUCGAGGGGCAGCAGGGUGUAGCAAUACACCGCUGGCGACCGGCGAACGGGUGAGUAACACGUACUCAAUCUGCCUUCAACUGGAGCAUAGCCCCGUGAAAACGGGAUUAAUACUCCAUAGUAUAAACUGGUGGCAUCACCGGUUUAUUAAAGCUUUGGCGGUUGAAGAUGGGGGUGCGUCCCAUUAGCUAGUUGGUAAGGUAAAGGCUUACCAAGGCUACGAUGGGUAGCUGGCGUGAGAGCGCGAUCAGCCACACGGGCACUGAGACACGGGCCCGACUCCUACGGGAGGCAGCAGUAGGGAAUAUUGGACAAUGGAGGAAACUCUGAUCCAGCCAUGCCGCGUGCAGGACGACGGCCCUCUGGGUUGUAAACUGCUUUUCUCAGGGAAGGAACCUUCCGAUUUAUCGGAACUUGACGGUACCUGAGGAAUAAGCACCGGCUAACUCCGUGCCAGCAGCCGCGGUAAUACGGAGGGUGCAAGCGUUAUCCGGAUUUACUGGGUUUAAAGGGAGCGCAGGUGGGUCUUUAAGUCAGUGGUGAAAUCCCCGGGCUCAACUUGGGAACUGCCAUUGAUACUGAAGACCUUGAGUAUAGUCGAGGUGGGCGGAAUACAGCAUGUAGCGGUGAAAUGCAUAGAUAUGCUGUA